CAGCAGCCACGGUAAUACGGAGGGUGCAAGCGUUAAUCGGAAUUACUGGGCGUAAAGCGUGCGUAGGCGGCUUCUUAAGUCGGAUGUGAAAUCCCUGAGCUUAACUUAGGAAUUGCAUUCGAUACUGGGAAGCUAGAGUAUGGGAGAGGAUGGUAGAAUUCCAGGUGUAGCGGUGAAAUGCGUAGAGAUCUGGAGGAAUACCGAUGGCGAAGGCAGCCAUCUGGCCUAAUACUGACGCUGAGGUACGAAAGCAUGGGGAGCAAACAGGAUUAGAUACCCCUGUAGUCCCUGUCUCUUAUAC
This 301-nucleotide ribosomal RNA is filed under the name uncultured bacterium. RNAcentral describes it as "partial 16S ribosomal RNA". It matches the Rfam family "Bacterial small subunit ribosomal RNA", at positions 509 to 807 of the family's 1533-position model. The record is from RNAcentral.